GUUUCAAUAGUUAAAUUAAUAACGUAGUGCUGAAGAUACUAAAUUGAGAAAAGUUCUUGAGACA
Molecule: transfer RNA, 64 nt
Filed under: Hiatella arctica
Lineage: Eukaryota; Metazoa; Mollusca; Bivalvia; Adapedonta; Hiatellidae
Description: tRNA-Phe
Source: RNAcentral